ACUGUACUUAGUGGACUUGAGUUACUGUACUUAAAGUUAAGUCAGCCAACUUAAGCUUAAGUUCAUGUUUAAGUUCGCUUAUGCACAUCAGCCCUGGACCCUUAGCGGACUAAAACUCGCAUGGUCGUUGUACGAUUCCGUGUGUGGCUCGUUAUUCAUGGCAUUUCUAGCAUACUCAAAAUGUUCUCCAACUCUGGCUCUCAUUCUUCUUCUUUUUGUUGAGUACAAAUAGCACAUGCUAUCAGCGGCGGCGCUUGGGGGUGGCAAAUGGGGCGGCUGCCCAAGGUCUCGCUCUCAAAGGUCCCAAGGUCAUUUUUAUGAGUUUGUCAACUUAAAAUAUAUUCUGUGUUAAAUGGAAAAAUGCUGAGAGGGGCUCUUUAAAAUCAGACUUCUUUAAGGUCAAAAACCGAAGGCCCCGUCAAUGAAUUUUCCACACGUAAGGCAUGAAAAGUGGAUUUUAUAAAUAAGCAUUAAUGUAAAACUUUUGGUUUAAAAACUCUGAAACUGACAUUUAUAUGCAGAAGGCUGCUAUAUGUCCAUAUACAGCCUAUAAGUCGUCAUCUCUUUAUUGCAUGUCAUCAGUGCUUCCGGCAUCAUAUCAAUAGGGAUAUUGAUACACGUACUCCAUUACCCUGAUUCCUUACACCGCCUCUGCAUGCUAUCUAAAUUAUAUUUAAUAUAUAUAAAAUGCAAAUGAUGUAUGAAGAUUAUACUCUUUAUACAGCUCUGAUUAAAAAUGCAAAAGUUAACAUACGAAUUCCAUCAUCUAUCCCUGAUAUUUAUGUGUCUUAUUCCCGUGAAAUAAAUAUGCACAAGACGGCAAAUCGUUUAGUGACCUUUCAUACCUGGAUAAAAAUAGAGCUUAGAGUUAGAAAAUUAGCUAUUUUCUUCCAUUAUUUGUUUUGCUUUUUUACUUAAACUUUUAAAAUUAAUAAAGUUUGUUUAAUCACUUUUAUCUUUAAACGCCAGCACCCAGCUGUCUAGAAUUAUUGUAAAAUAAAUUAUUAACCAUCAUACAGUUAUUACCAUUUGUGGUCGAAAAAAGAGACUAUUAAAGUUAAUUUGUCUGAAUUGAUACUUCCAUGCAGUCACAAUCAUGUAAAUGGGAUGUCUAUAUGAGGUUUUUUUGGUUCACCAUUGGGAACAGAAUCCUAAUGCUGCACUUUCUCAGAUAUUCUUUUAAUUACCUGUGGAAGGUGGAGAUCGAGUGUCAUGGAUCAGUCCGUGCCUCUGUCCAGUAUUUUUCAGACUUUUAACCCUUUUGUGACUCACGGACUAACAGUGGUAUUUUGAAUGUACAUGCUUGGUUGAAUGGAUAAAAACAUAGGAAAGGGUUAACUGUGUUAAAUGUUUAGUGAACACUAGCUGUUCACAGUUGGUUUAGGUGGGAACAAGUUGUGGAAAAUUACUCAGGCCUGGGAUACCAAGAGAAGAAGGCGUGCCUUAGUCACGAGUUGUAAAUCUUCCUUGUUGAGAUUUUGUGUUUAGUAGCAGGGUAGUGCCGAUCGACGCUGGAUGCGGCGCGGUACUCACCCGUUUUUGGAUUGACCUCGCCUAGACGAGGUUUUAAUCGUAUGGGCGGAUUUAAUUGGAGCUAUUCUGGGUAAAGAAGGAUCGCCUGCCAGGACCAUUCCGUGAUCGACGUGAUUUUGGUUCAGCACCCAGCAGCACGUGGGUUACGAGCCCAAUGACGUCACCGCGGAUCGAGUACGCUCCCUUUAACUUCGGAAACCGCGCCACGACACGGCCAUGUUUACGGCCCUCGUGUAUGUGUGGGUGCUUGUGCCAUUGGAUUAUAGUUGGCUGGACAUGUGGAGAGCGACAACCCUGAGGGACGAUGAACUGUGAGUAACGUAUUCAACGAUUGCUUGUGCGGUCAUAAGUUAGAAAAUAGAACUGGAACCUCGUUGCUCGGCGAACUUCCCCUGAUGUAAGCAUUGCAUCUAUAGUUAGAAGUUUGUCGCCAUUAGAACGAGGCGUUGAGCCGAGUUGUUAUUAAUGCGUACUUGUCAUGUAGUGUGAAAAGUCCUGAGCCACUCGACAACGCAAUAGCCAAGAUUUGGGCAGCCUCAGGCAAUCGUGUUGAUGUGUUGAUAGAACACCCAUUUGUCUGGCUGAGCGAGUUGUUAAGCCACCCCUGCCGUGACCAUUUGUGUAGUAAGAGUACAAAAAAAUUAUUUAAAAAAUAAAUAAAAGAGAUAGAAGAAUAAUUCAAACUGAUAAUGAUAGAUAAAAAUGUGUAGAAAAGGAACAAUCUACCUGAAACGUGCUUGGGAACUCACUUUUAUUGUAAUACAUAUAGAAUCGGGUAUAUGAAGUGAAGUUUUUAAAAAGUUUUUCAGGCGCAUGUUUACACAGGUUAUGUCAUCUAAAAAAGAAGUUAGACUUUCAGGAAUCAGAGUUUGAUGUUUGAAAACAAAGACGAACUGCACACACGUUCUUGUCCAUAGAAAUUUCCAAAUGAUACAAUUGUAAGAUGCCAGAAUUCUAAAAAUCCAAGUAGCAAGUCGCACACUUCUGGAACUGUGUAUCGUCUCGCCAUUUUUCCAGUGGAAAAGAACAGCACUCGGGAAAGUUGACGAUAUUUCUGUUCAAACUGUGUUCAGAACUGCCUAAGCUAUCAUAAUUAAUUAUUUUACUAAAAAGAAGCACUGUAGACGUCUAAAGAAAAACAACGCAUGGGAUAAAUCUAUCCCAUAGUGCCAGGUGUUUGUUCAAGAGGUGGGACAAAUUGACCUACUCGUUCAAGAAGAGUUAACAAAGGUUUGAACAGGAAAGAACAGGGGGUAGGUCAUAUUUCUUUGUAUCAGCUUUUCUAUUAUGUGUGGGUCAUUUUUGCAUGUUUACUAAUGUGAUCAAUCUAAUUACGAUCGUAUGUUUAUGCAUCUGUAUGUCUACAUAGGCUAUUUCUAAGGAUCAUUCUUCAGUGGAUGUCACACAACAUCUGAGAAGACACACAUAUGUGAUAAUGAAGAAAAGGAAAAAAUAAGAGAAGCCAUGGCAUCCUUGGACAUGACACGGAAAGGACAGCAGAGGCUACUUCUCAGAAUCUCUCUUCAAAUGAUGUCCCACAAGCGAUGAGAAGACCCAGACAUUUGACAAUAAAUGUGUGCAUCAUUUGUUAGCAGGAUGUGCCAUCAGAGGAAGAAAAAAAUGAAAUGUGAAUCUUUACUAAUGACUAACCCUUCUAACCUUUAAACUAAUACCAUCUGUAUGUCUGUUUAAGUGGUUUUAUGCUUGUCAUUUCAUGCAAAUAUGGCUGUUCACCUUUGAUUUAAUUUUGCUUUUUUAUUUUUGCGAUAUUUCUCACAUAUUUUUGUAUUUGGAAAUCACAGACGUCAUGGCAUAGCUGGACAUGACAACCAUAGAACUACAGCUAUGGACAAUGGGGUCGAUGCAUCAGCGAGAGGGAACGAGAGCUUUUUCUCAGAAUGUGUCUUCAAUUGAUGUUCCACGAGGGCUAUGAAGACUGAGACAUAGGACAAAAGAUGUGAGCAUCAUUUGUUAGAAAGAUGUACCAUCAAAAAAUGGCAGUGGCCAUGGCAUCCUUGGACAUCACAAGGAAAGGACAGCAUCUCUUGACAGUGCGUUGUCUGAGGGGGAAUGAAAGACAGAAAUGGCAGUGGCCAUGGCAUCCUUGGACAUCACAAGGAAAGGACAGCAUCUCUUGGCAGUGCGUUGUCGGAGCGGGAAUGAAGGAGAGAAAUGGCAGUGGCCCUGGCAUCCUUGGACAUCACAAGGAAAGGACAGCAUCUCUUGACAGUGCGUUGUCUGAGCGGGAAUGAAAGAGAGAAAUGGCAGUGGCCAUUGCAUCCUUGGACAUCACAAGGAAAGGGAAGCAACUCUUGGUAGUGCGUUGUCGGAGGGGGAAUGAAAGAGAGAAAUGGCAGUGGCCCUGGCAUCCUUGGACAUCACAAGGAAAGGAUAGCAUCUCUUGACAGUGUGUUGUCUGAGCGGGAAUGAAAGAGAGAAAUGGCAGUGGCCCUGGCAUCCUUGGACAUCACAAGGAAAGGAUAGCAUCUCUUGACAGUGCGUUGUCUGAGCGGGAAUGAAAGAGAGAAAUGGCAGUGGCCAUUGCAUCCUUGGAAAUCACAAGGAAAGGGAAGCAACUCUUGGUAGUGCGUUGUCGGAGGGGGAAUGAAGGAGAGAAAUGGCAGUGGCCCUGGCAUCCUUGGACAUCACAAGGAAAGGAUAGCAUGUCUUGGCAGUGCGUUGUCGGAGGGGGAAUGAAGGAGAGAAAUGGCAGUGGCCAUUGCAUCCUUGGACAUCACAAGGAAAGGGCAGCAACUCUUGGCAGUGCGUUGUCUGAGCGGGAAUGAAAGAGAGAAAUGGCAGUGGCCCUGGCAUCCUUGGACAUCACAAGGAAAGGAUAGCAUCUCUUGGCAGUGCGUUGUCGGAGCGGGAAUGAAGGAGAGAAAUGGCAGUGGCCCUGGCAUCCUUGGACAUCACAAGGAAAGGGAAGCAACUCUUGGUAGUGCGUUGUCGGAGCGGGAAUGAAAGAGAGAAAUGGCAGUGGCCAUGGCAUCCUUGGACAUGACAAGGAAAGGACAGCAGAGGCUACUUCUCAGAAUCUCUCUUCAAAUGAUGUCCCACAAGCGAUGAGAAGACCCAGACAUUUGACAAUAAACGUGUGCAUCAUUUGUUAGCAGGAUGUGCCAUCAGAGGAAGAAAAAAAUGAAAUACGUCAUGGCAUAGCUGGACAUGACAACCAUAGAACUACAGCUAUGGACAAUGGGGUCGAUGCAUCAGCGGGAAGGAACGAUAGCUUUUUCUCAGAAUGUGUCUUCAAUUGAUGUUCCACGAGGGCUAUGAAGACUGAGACAUAGGACAAAAGAUCCAUGGCAUGGAUGGAAAGAGAGGUAGGAUUUGUUUCUUUGGAUUAGCUAUUUCUCAGAAUCUCUUCAACGAGGGCUACGAAGACCCAUAUGUGUAACAGUGGACAUUAUUGGAUGUUUACCAUUAAAGGAAUGAAAACUCGAAA
Molecule: long non-coding RNA, 4981 nt
Filed under: Pomacea canaliculata
Lineage: Eukaryota; Metazoa; Mollusca; Gastropoda; Architaenioglossa; Ampullariidae
Description: uncharacterized LOC112553900, transcript variant X2
Source: RNAcentral